AUUGAACGCUGGCGGCAGGCCUAACACAUGCAAGUCGAACGGUAACAGAAAGCAGCUUGCUGCUUUGCUGACGAGUGGCGGACGGGUGAGUAAUGUCUGGGAAACUGCCUGAUGGAGGGGGAUAACUACUGGAAACGGUAGCUAAUACCGCAUAACGUCGCAAGACCAAAGAGGGGGACCUUCGGGCCUCUUGCCAUCGGAUGUGCCCAGAUGGGAUUAGCUAGUAGGUGGGGUAAAGGCUCACCUAGGCGACGAUCCCUAGCUGGUCUGAGAGGAUGACCGCCCACAUUGGAAUUGAGCCAGGGUCCAGACCCCUAGGGGGGGCAGCGGGGGGGAAUUUUGCAAAAAGGGGGGAAGCCUGUGGCAGCCAUGCCGGGGGUAUGAAGAAGGCCUUCGGGUUGUAAAGUAAUUUAAGGGGGGAGGAAGGGGAGAAAGUUAAUCCCUUUGCUCAUGGACGUUACCCGCAAAAAAAGCCCCGGCUAACCCCGU
This 489-nucleotide ribosomal RNA is filed under the name uncultured bacterium. RNAcentral's name for it is "partial 16S ribosomal RNA". It matches the Rfam family "Bacterial small subunit ribosomal RNA", at positions 29 to 506 of the family's 1533-position model. The record is from RNAcentral.